GCCGAAAAAAAGUACAGAAGAAGAGGUGUCGACAACCGCGAAAAGUAACAGUUGGUUACACAAAGCCAACCUCUGAGAGUCUCCAAAAAUCAACUCUGAAUUCAAGAGAAUCACGACCAAGCCACGACAAUCAAAAUUCCUGUCUCAGCUGGACCUCCACUCUGGCACCCUGAUGAAGCUGUUCCAAAAGCGAGGAGGACAGCUUGGGUCACUUGGCUGGAAACAAUAAUUUUGCAAAUGGCUAAUUGUGAUGAUGUAGAUGCCGGACGCGAGUCUAUCAUCAAGGGACUAUGCAUCUCCAUGGGGGAAGAUCCAAAAGACCUUGUGCGAGAAUAUGUGGACACAGAUGAAGGCGCCAUCAAGGACACAACUGUGGGGAUUUAUGUUCUUAAAGAUGCUUCCACUGAUGAACCGGAGGACAUCGGGAUCGUUCUAGAAGGCGUCUCCAGACAAAUCUGGAUAAUGUAGCAUUAGCUUUUGUAAUGCUGUUCGGACUAAUGUACGCGCUGAAUAUCAGCUACCCUGCUGACCUCCGCUACACCUUUGAAGUAGUCCAAAGCCUUAUAAUGGACUGCGGUAAGCUCUCAAACAAAGCAACUGCUCUGAAAAACAGGCUCCUUCAGUGAAACGGUUCAGAGACUGCUGCAUGCAAGGAACCCCAAACAAUUGAAUCUGUUCUUUUUUCUCUGUUAUGUUUUAGGAUUUGUUGUUACUUCGUUACAACUUGUGUUUUUAACCUGAGACCAUUUUAAAGACCAUUGCUGUCUUUAGUGUUUGAGACUCUAUUAUAAGAAACCUGUCAAUCCUGCAUGUGCAACUGUUCAGCCUGUUCACUCUUAUUGUUCCUUCAUAUAUUUCUUCUAGACUGAUGCCACCACAGGUCAUUUUAUGUCACAGAUGUUCAGGUUAAAGCAUAGUUCCAUGCUUUAAUUAUUCAAUGUUCCAUGCUGCAGUGUUUUUCUAUAUUGCCUGUGCUGUAGCACCUCUUUUAAUUUUUGGAAAAUAUAUAUAUUUUAUAAAUUCUAUUGUUACUGUGAAAAGGGUAAAACCCAUAGACUGUAUAUAUAAAUGGACGUAGGGUCCGUGACGUCACCCAU
Gymnodraco acuticeps is the source of this 1097-nucleotide long non-coding RNA. RefSeq lists it as uncharacterized. Lineage: Eukaryota; Metazoa; Chordata; Actinopteri; Perciformes; Bathydraconidae. The transcript is spliced from 4 exons. The record is from RefSeq and is a predicted model, not a curated record.